GUGCCAGCCGCCGCGGUAAUACAGAGGUCCCAAGCGUUGUUCGGAAUCACUGGGCGUAAAGGGUGCGUAGGCGGUAUGGUAAGACUUGGGUGAAAUCUCCAUGCUUAACGUGGAGGGAGCCUGGGAGACUGCCGUGCUAGAGGAUUGGAGGGGAGACUGGAAUUCUUGGAGUAGCAGUGAAAUGCGUAGAUAUCAAGAGGAACACCAGUGGCGAAGGCGAGUCUCUGGACAAUUCCUGACGCUGAGGCACGAAGGCCAGGGGAUCAAACGGGAUUAGAUACCCCGGUAGUCCUGGCAGUAAACGGUGCACACUUGCUGUGUGAGGGAUCGACCCCUUACGUGGCGCAGCCAACGCGCUAAGUGUGCCGCCUGGGGAGUACGGUCGCAAGACUAAAACUCAAAUGAAUUGACGG
RNAcentral lists this ribosomal RNA (413 nucleotides) under uncultured bacterium. Its description in RNAcentral is "bacterial SSU rRNA". It matches the Rfam family "Bacterial small subunit ribosomal RNA", at positions 505 to 916 of the family's 1533-position model. The record is from RNAcentral.